Molecule: long non-coding RNA, 2549 nt
Filed under: Bemisia tabaci
Lineage: Eukaryota; Metazoa; Arthropoda; Insecta; Hemiptera; Aleyrodidae
Description: lncRNA ENSASIAIIG008673
Source: RNAcentral
CUCAAAGAAGAUGACGAGUCAAGCGAGUCUGAGAAAGAGGAGACAACUAAGAAGAUUGAUGAGAUCCUGAAAGACGCGCCCUUUAAAACUAUGGAGGAAUUUAACAUUUUUGAUUCGCAACUGGCUGCUGAUGGAGAACUGACUAAAGAAGUGAUCAUUCGUUGUCAAAAGGCAAUAAAGAGUGCGGGGAAACUUGCCUCUGCUGCUCGCACUGUUGUGCGAAUUAUCCUGACGACUGAUCUCCAGAGAGAAUUUUCCUGGAAAGGACAGGCCGUUGUCCCCGGCAGCAAUGAAGCCAAAGUUGCAUUUUGCAACACGACCUUCUGCCAAUGCGUUCUUUACAAAACUCUUAAAGCAUCCAAAAAUUGGCCGAAAAAGGACCUGGAGAAAACGGUCAAGGAAACCCUCAGCUCAAUGUUCACAAUGGCUAAUACCAAAAAAGGAAGUAAGAAGGCAGCAGGGAACAUCCCUCAGAAGUAGAGCCACCAGUUAUGUUCUUUUUCCUACUUUUCCAAUUUUUUCAUAUUUUCGGGUGCAUCUAUUCUAGUUCAUUACCUAUAUUAUUUUUUGUUAUCGAAGUAACCCAUUUCUAUGUGGACAAACGUUUUUUCUCAAAUGCUUGCUGAAACUGUGACAGCUGAAUAACCUUGUGCAAGCUAAUUUAUUAAUUUUUAUAGCUCUUUAACCACAGUAUUGGUAGCUCACUUUUUUACUAUUAGCAUCUACCUUUUCUCCAUAUCUUUUCGUAUCAACUUUACAAGCCUUUAGCUUUUAGCCCAUAUCUUUUCUUAUUAACUCUAUACAGGCCUUCCAGGCCGUUGUGCUCUCUAGGUUCCACAUCGUGAAAUUCAUUCAAUCAGUGAAAGGGUACUGAAAAAAGCAAAAUAAAAAUAAACUCUAGCGAGCUGCGAGUUGAUUUUUAUCAAUACAGUUUUUUUUUGUCAGCAAAUGUCUACAAAGCAGAAAAGCCAUAUUCGGGCAGAUUCAGACCCACAGAAUACAGACCUCGAAGGUUAUUCAGCGUAUUUUUUCAAUGUGUGAUGAUACGAAAAUCCCAGCGUUCAUUGAAAUUUCUUCCAGCCGCUAUUCUUAAAAUUUGAAAUUGCAAGAGAAAACUUCAUCCAGUGAAGUUAAAGUUAUUUGCUAGAUGAAUGUUAGAGACGAUUCCAUUUUCUCCCACCGGGCCAUUCGAUCAUUACGUAUGACCACCGGUUUUUCACCUUUUUUCCCCCAAUUAGAAGGCUCAUUUCGACCAGUCUGUUGGUAGCUUUACUCAAAUUUUUAAGAUUUUAUGAAAAAAUAGAGGAACUACAUUCAGAGCUCCAUCAAAAAAGAAAGAGAAAAAAUUGACACUUAAUUCAUAACGCUUAAUUUAAUCAGAGCGUUAAGAGCAAUUAAAAUUUUAGCGGUGUCCUCUACAGUGGCUAGAUGAAACAAUAGAAGGUGAAUCACGCAAUAUUCCCUUAAUUCAUGAACUGUUUAAAUAUAAAUUUAACACCUGUCACACUUAAAUUUUUGCUCUGAUUGAUCUUUUUUUUGGGGGGGGGGGGUGAGGUAUGUUUGUAUCUUUGCUUUUUCCAUUUUUCAACGGUUUCUUUUGCAUAGGAUUACGUAUUUUUUUUUACAAUUCUCACGUGUAACGCUCAUUAUCAUGGAAUUAGCCUGAUAAACGUAAUUAGUUUGGUCAAUGUGUUUCCUAGGGCGUGGGAAACGUGCUAAAUAAAAAAACAAAACAAAAAUUAGGAGAAACGAUUAAAUAAUUGAUGUUGGCAUAGUCAACAUGCUCUAUUUAAAGACUUCUAGUCUUAGGUUUUCCGGUAAUAAUUUCUUUUAAAAAAAUACACAUUAAAAUGUGGGUUAAAUAUUAGGAAACUGUAAACUUUGAAGCUAGUUCACACGCCACGCAACGACGGUUUAACUACGUUAUCCACGGUUGCUAUGACGUGACAUUUAGAUUAACUUGUCAAAUUUGUUAUUAUAAUAAGUUUCUUAAACCUUCUCCUAAUUUUGGUAAAGUUUUUUUCCACCAGUUAUGUUCUUUUUCCUACUUUUCCGAUUUUUUCAUAUAUUCUAGUUCAUUUAUUCUAGUUCAUUACCUAUAUUAUUUUUUGUUAUCGAAGUAACCCAUUUCUAUGUGGACAAACGUUUUUUCUCAAAUGCUUGCUGAAACUGUGACAGCUGAAACACCUUGUGCAAGCUAAUUUAUUAAUUUUUAUAGCUCUUUAACCACAGUAUUGGUAGCUCACUUCUUUACUAUUAGCAUCUACCUUUUGGCGAAAACUGCCAAAAAAAGAGCAAUACGAUCGCAGUCACAAGCCUAGACAGGACAAUCCCUGAAACUAUUAAAAAUGUGUUAUUUUUCUAUUUUUAUGUCUUUAAAUGUUUAAAUUGGGCUCUUCGCCUAUUACCACCUUCCCUUCUAUCAAUACCUCUUCCUGGUAUUGCUAUUAGUUUUCUUUUUCAUUUUUCAAAUGUAAAUUUAUUACAUAAGUAAUGAAACAACAGGUACUGUGAUAUUGUGUAACUGUAAGUGUUCUUAAUUAGUUGUU